Molecule: long non-coding RNA, 409 nt
Filed under: Bemisia tabaci
Lineage: Eukaryota; Metazoa; Arthropoda; Insecta; Hemiptera; Aleyrodidae
Description: lncRNA ENSSSA1NGG009187
Source: RNAcentral
CGGCUCACAUUAUUCAUGCUGCAUACUCUGCAUAUUCAUGCUACCUCCUUUUGUUUUUCAAAUAUUACUCACUUCAUCGUCAGUUUUACCUCUACCUGAUGUGGAAGUCACCUGCCAGAGUAUAUGCUGCUCUGCCACACUUAGAACAAAAACAAAUGAAGCCUUAAGCAACUCGGCUUCGCAAAAUCAACCUACAGGGAAUCCACCAGAUCCUCCUGAUCCUCCUAUCGGUGAUAACAAAACAAAGCGAAAUGCUUUUCUAGCCGUAGGACUUAUCGUAUUAGCAGCAACUGUCUACAGGUAGUACCAUAAUCUUCAAAUUAUUUGUUGCAUUAUCAAAAACUUCCUUAGUUUGUAGACUUGUCCAAAAAUUGACAAUGCACUAUAGGUAGAUCAAGUUCAACUUUAC